CAAUUUUCCAAAAGAUGGAGGGAGCGGGGAGGACAGAGGAAGGAGAAGAGGGAAAAUGGAUGAGAAGUGUUAGUACACGUGCCAAUUUCCCAGGACAAAUGUGAUCACCGCUAAAGCUUUUUAAAACCCCAAAUCUGCAAUUUUGAUAUGACUUGAGACUUUUUUUUCUUAUCUUAAAAAUGAGAGAGUUGCUCACUGCAAAGGCAGCUCCACGAGGAUUGGAACUUUCCUCUGGGCCCACUGUAUCCCGUAGCCACCCUGCCCUUGCUGCCUGACACAGCACAGGCGCGCAGGUGUUUGUUGAAUGCAUUUGUGAGAAACUGCUUGAAACAACACUGAAGUGUGCAGCCGAAAGCGCGGCACACAGCUCACACUCGGUGAAGAGGCACUCGGCCACCUCUGCCGCUGCUCAGGAAGAUGAUUUUUACGAGGGCUGGGUUGCAGCUGCUUCCGGGGAAAGACCCGGGUUCCAGCCUCGCGUCUCCACUGACCGGCCCUGGGACGUAGGCCAAAUACUUAGCCUGCUGGGUUCCUUUUGCGGUAACCAGAGGUUGUUAGGGAACCCCUAACCAGAGUGCAAGCUCCGCCAGCACGGGACCCUGGCUGCCCGUGGACCCAGAGCGCGGCCCCCCUGAGCACUCCACGGUGGCCGAGGCAGGAAGGUGUCAACGUCUCAGACCGGAACCGCUAGCUGCGACCCGAGCGUGUUAACCCCAGGCUUGACAGCUCCCACCAAAGGAAGCCGUUCUCACCACCCGCAGCCAGUCGGACUGACCAAGCCUGGCGCAGGACGGCGGACUGUCUGAAGAUCAGCGCCAAGACCCUUCUCUGUAGGUCUGUCUGACGCAGAGGGUCCCCAGACUCAGCGUCUGUUCUCGCGGGACCACAGUUCCCAGCAUGCCUUGCGGGGAAGUAGGUCUCGCUGGAUGACUACCAAUCCCGGCAUGCCGUUCGGCAUCCCGUCCGUUGAGCGGCAGCUCAGAGAGGCCGCAUUGCAUAUAGGGGGAUGUAGUCCGCUCUCUCUCCAGCUAGCCAAUGGGCGGGGCAGAGCCGGGUGGCUCACGUCGGCUGAAGAGAAUGAUUCAUAGAGGAGGGUCAGGAGAGAACCGCUCUGUACCGCAGAACCCUCUAUAUAGACUGGACUUAUCUUCUCCGAGGCCGGGAGCUGGACGGAAGCACUCGCGGCCGCAGGUCUGACGCCGCUUCGCGGGCCUGCCCCGCGUUCUGGGCCUCCAGAAGUCAGGCGGCCGCCAGCUCCGGCGGCCGGGAGCCGUGACGUCUCGGGGUGAAAGUUGAGGGGCGGUGACGUCUGGCCGGCCGGGCGGAGGCUGGCGGGCUGGAGCCCGGAGGGAGGGAGGGAGGGAAGGAGGGAAGGAAGGAAGCUGGGAAGGAGAGAGCGAGCGGGGGCGCGAGGCGUUCACCUGGAGGCAGCGCUCGGGCGGGCGCGCGAGCGGCCGCGGCUCCCGCACCUGCGGCCAUGGACGAGGAGCGCGCCCUCUACAUCGUCCGAGCCGGCGAGGCGGGCGCAAUCGAGCGGGUCCUGCGGGACUACAGCGACAAGCAUAGGGCUACUUUCAAGUUUGAAUCAACAGAUGAAGAUAAAAGAAAGAAACUCUGUGAAGGCAUAUUUAAAGUCCUUGUAAAGGAUGUCCCAACAUCGUGUCAGGUGUCCUGCCUGGAAGUACUCCGUAUUCUCUCCAGAGAUAAAAAGAUUUUAGUUCCUGUAACAACUAAGGAAAACAUGCAGAUACUGCUGAGACUAGCCAAGCUGAAUGAGUCAGAUGAUUCUUUGGAGAAGGUGUCCGAAUUCCCCGUUAUUGUGGAGUCGCUGAAGUGUCUGUGUAACAUAGUGUUCAACAGUCAGACGGCGCAGCAGCUCAGCCUGGAGCUUAAUCUUGCUGCAAAGCUCUGUAACCUCCUAAGAAAGUGCAAGGACCGGAAGUUUAUCAGUGACAUUAAAUGCUUUGACCUGCGCUUGCUCUUCCUCCUGUCACUUUUGCACACUGACAUCAGGUCACAGUUGCGCUAUGAGCUCCAAGGACUACCGCUGCUAACCCAGGUCUUGGAAAGUGCCUUUAGCAUCAAGUGGACCGAUGAGUAUGAGUCGGCCGUAGACCGUAAUGGGCCUCCGCUCUCACCUCAGGAGACAGACUGUGCUGUUGAAGCUCUCAAAGCUCUCUUCAACGUGACAGUAGACAGUUGGAAGGUGCCCAAAGAGAGUGAUUCUCAUCAGUUCCGUGUCAUGGCAGCUGUCCUUCGCCAUUGUUUACUAAUCGUAGGUCCAAGUGAAGACAAAACUGAAGAGCUGCACAGCAAUGCAGUCAACCUUUUAAGCAAUGUUCCGGUCUCUUGUUUGGAUGUUCUCAUUUGUCCGUUAACCCAUGAAGAAACAGCCCAAGAAGCGACGACUCUAGAUGAACUGCCCAGUGAUAAAGCCGCUGAGAAAGACGCCGUUUUACAAAACAGUACUGUGGUGUACAAUGGUAUGAACAUGGAGGCCAUUCAUGUUCUACUCAGUUUUAUGGAGAAGAGAAUAGACAAGGGAAGCAGCUAUAGAGAGGGUCUAACUCCAGUUCUCAGCUUAUUAACAGAAUGUUCCCGGGCCCACCGAAACAUCAGAAAAUUUCUCAAAGAUAAGGUUUUACCACCCUUGAGGGAUGUCACAAACCGACCUGAAGUUGGCUCGACUGUGAGAAACAAGCUGGUGCGCCUCAUGACACAUGUUGACCUUGGCGUUAAGCAGAUCGCUGCUGAGUUCCUUUUUGUCCUUUGCAAAGAGAGAGUGGACAGCCUACUGAAGUACACUGGCUAUGGGAAUGCUGCAGGACUGUUGGCUGCCAGGGGCCUCUUGGCUGGAGGAAGAGGAGAUAAUUGGUACUCAGAGGAUGAGGAUACAGACACUGAGGAAUACAAAAAUGCAAAACCAAACAUUAAUCUUAUCACUGGUCAUUUAGAGGAACCAAUGCCAAACCCCAUAGAUGAAAUGACAGAAGAACAAAAAGAAUAUGAAGCCAUGAAACUUGUCAACAUGCUUGAUAAACUUUCCAGGAGAGCAGAUGUGAAGGACCCGCACCAGGAUGGUGGUUAGCAACAGUGGCCCGUGCCAAAGCCCUUACCAAAGUGAUGACUAAGACCCUGUCAUUAAUUCCAUGUGUCAAUACUGCCCUGUAGUACACAGAGCAGACAAGAAAGAAGAGCCCUUGAAAACAAGGGAAUGAUUUUUGAGUCGUUAUCAAGCUAAGUGGCAAGCGGGAAGCUGAAACUCGUAUAGUUGAACAUUCUUGGAGGCUUAUCUCUUCCCUGGCCAGAUGCCUGAUCAGAUGAGAAGCCCGCCAUGAUACUGUCACAGAGCCUAGAAUGAGCUCUUUAUCCAGUAGACAUCACUGUACUUUUUGAUGAUAACAAGGGCAGUCUUAACCUAUGUUAAGGCCUGUGUAUAGCAUUGAAGAGAAGAGUUGCUUAAGCCAAUGGGACUAAAGCCUGAUGGGACAAUAACGCCUUUGGAGGAAGCACUCAGCCAGUACUCUGUCAUUGAAGAGACCAGCUCCGACACAGACUGACGGCUCGUGUGCUCUGCGCUCAGUGUCGCUUUUAUCAGCAGCUUUUCUCUGUAGCUCCAGGGGAAUCCUUUCUCUAAAACAUUUAUGCCCUGCUUUGGCUAGAAACACAUUUACUGGUUUACUCGUUGAGACUCCAGCAUAUUUAAGAGGUGAUCCUGUGUUUUUGCGAUUUUGAGGCAUUUGUUCUGAGCUGCGGUAGAGUGUUACAGGGGCUGGAGGCAGCAGCUUUCUCUGUCCCAGUGGGGUGCAGCCAAGGACCUCGUCCCGCGGCAUCCCUGGCAAGUCUGCAGUCCUCUUUGCUAGCUUCUGAGCAGCACACGCGGCCGUGCCCUUCCCCGGCUUGCCUGGGUGAGCAGCCCCUUGUGAAAGUCCACGGCUGCCGGAGGUCCAGGGUGAGCUGGUCGGUAAGGGCUGAGCAGGGCGCCCAGGCCGGGCUGGUGGUACGGAAGCCAGGCAGCUGCUCUGUGAGCCAGCCCCGUUCCCCAUUUCAGUUUUAUAUGUUCAGAAACACACACACGCGCGCAGAGCCCCAGACUCAGGCCUGUCUCCCCUAAGUGCUCCUGUGUCCCUGAGCUGCAGUUUCUCGACACACCCUCCCUGUGGAGCGUCUCGGACAGUGGCUUUGUUCCAGGCAGCUUCAAGUGCCUAUUUAUUCCCUGACGCACCUAAACACUAAGACCACAGACCCAAACCACCAUCUGGACCCCAGCAUGGGGAGUGUGCGCCCUGAGGCAGCACCAGCCUGUUGGAGCCAAACAUCCUCCGCCUGCAGAGGGAGCAGAGACCCCCCAAGUUGUGGGACUGGGAAAGCACCCAUUUGUACAUAAACGUCGUUCAUCCGUCCUGCGUUUUAAACUGGGGGCAGCGUGUGUGCGGGUGUGUGUGCGGGAGUGUGCGUGCGCGUGUGUGUGCUACCUUUCUACCAAAUGCGAUCAGUUUAAUGGUAACUUUAUUUAUUAAAAAAAGAAACACAGAUAGUUACUAUUAAACUGAUUAAGGCUGUUUAUUUUUACUGUUAGAACUGGUCAUAUGAAGAAGUAGAAAUGUACUCAUCCAGUAGACAGUGGGCCUAGUAAAUCAAUGGCUGAAGUUGAAAAGGGUUGGUUUCCUUUUAUAUGUAUGUAUGUAUGUAUGUACGUACGUGUGCAUAGGGACACAUACAUACAUAUAUAUACACACAUAGAUAAUGUGCUUAACCACUGCCUUUUAAAACUUUAAAUAAAACAUUGGGGUUGAUUCAAUGUAGACAUCUGUGUGUUUCUUCGCAGGGCUGAGGGAUAACCCGCUCACAGUCUGAUCUUCAGAAGUCCUCGUCCUUUGUUAGCUCACUGGUCACCAUGACAGCUUUCAGGGUAGAUACAGUAUGUGGCGGAUCAGUGAGAAUUCCUGUGCCCAAGUUUCUGCUCUGGUGAGCCCGAGCCCAGCCAGCAGCUCGCCUGACGCCUUCAGGCUGCGAGGAGAUAGCGAGGGCGGCGCCUGCUGCCUGCGCCGGAGCCUCCAAGGAGCUCGCUCUUCGCCUCUUCGCUGACAUUUGCAUACAUUUUUAAUAUGCUAAAGAAUCUGGUUUUCUAGC
This is an RNA transcript of Octodon degus (degu), 5133 nucleotides long. It is a transcript of the gene named RIC8 guanine nucleotide exchange factor B, with no coding region annotated. Lineage: Eukaryota; Metazoa; Chordata; Mammalia; Rodentia; Octodontidae. The transcript has 13 exons. The record is from RefSeq and is a predicted model, not a curated record.